GAACUUAAGCAUAUCAAUAAGCGGAGGAAAAGAAACUAACAAGGAUUCCCUUAGUAACUGCGAGUGAAGUGGGAUGAGCUCAAAUUUAAAAUCUGGUAGUCUUUGGCUGCCCGAGUUGUAAUCUAGAGAAGUGUUUUCUGUGCUGGACUGUGUUUAAGUUUCCUGGAUAUGGAACAUCAUAGAGGGUGAGAAUCCCGUCUUUGACGCAGACUGCCAGUACUUUGUGAUGCACUCUCAACGAGUCGAGUUGUUUGGGAUUGCAGCUCAAAAUGGGAGGUAAAUUCCUUCUAAAGCUAAAUAUUGGCGAGAGACCGAUAGCGAACAAGUACCGUGAGGGAAAGAUGAAAAGCACUUUGGAAAGAGAGUUAAACAGUACGUGAAAUUGUUAAAAGGGAAACAAUUGAAGUCAGUUGCAUCUACUUGGAUUCAGCCUUGCUUUGGUUUGGUGCAUUUCCUUGUGGAUGGGCCAGUGUUCAUGUUGAUUACUGGAAAAGGGGCUAGGGAAUGUGGCUCUUUUGGGAGUGUUAUAGCCUUGGCUCAUAUGCAGUAAUUAAUAUGGAGUGGUACAGCAUGCUUCGGU
This 580-nucleotide ribosomal RNA is filed under the name Hydnum olympicum. Its description in RNAcentral is "LSU rRNA". It matches the Rfam family "Eukaryotic large subunit ribosomal RNA", at positions 30 to 609 of the family's 3401-position model. Lineage: Eukaryota; Fungi; Basidiomycota; Agaricomycetes; Cantharellales; Hydnaceae. The record is from RNAcentral.